This 509-nucleotide ribosomal RNA is filed under the name Sulfitobacter sp. RNAcentral describes it as "bacterial SSU rRNA". It matches the Rfam family "Bacterial small subunit ribosomal RNA", at positions 378 to 905 of the family's 1533-position model. The record is from RNAcentral. Lineage: Bacteria; Pseudomonadati; Pseudomonadota; Alphaproteobacteria; Rhodobacterales; Roseobacteraceae.
GCAGCCUGAUCUAGCCAUGCCGCGUGUGUGAUGAAGGUCUUAGGAUCGUAAAGCACUUUCGCCAGGGAUGAUAAUGACAGUACCUGGUAAAGAAACCCCGGCUAACUCCGUGCCAGCAGCCGCGGUAAUACGGAGGGGGUUAGCGUUGUUCGGAAUUACUGGGCGUAAAGCGUACGUAGGCGGAUUGGAAAGUUGGGGGUGAAAUCCCAGGGCUCAACCCUGGAACUGCCUCCAAAACUAUCAGUCUAGAGUUCGAGAGAGGUGAGUGGAAUUCCAAGUGUAGAGGUGAAAUUCGUAGAUAUUUGGAGGAACACCAGUGGCGAAGGCGGCUCACUGGCUCGAUACUGACGCUGAGGUACGAAAGUGUGGGGAGCAAACAGGAUUAGAUACCCUGGUAGUCCACACCGUAAACGAUGAAUGCCAGUCGUCGGGCAGUAUACUGUUCGGUGACACACCUAACGGAUUAAGCAUUCCGCCUGGGGAGUACGGUCGCAAGAUUAAAACUCAAA